CAAUCUUUGACGCGCGCGAGUGAACACGUCAGACUACAUCGAUCGUCGUUUUGGAUUUUGUCAAAUAAAAAAUAGCAAUCUAAAAAGAACAAGAAAUAACUCGCGCUGCGAUCGUCGUGAGUAGCGAUGGUGUUGCAUUAAUUUGAAAGACUUGAUGAAGCUACAGGCCACAUUGCGGAGGUAGUUCCAGUUCCGAUGAAUGCUGUACCGGAGGAUCCGGUUCGAGCCAAGCAGGGUCGGCUCGAAGUCUGUAAGCGGAAUGUGGCCGGCCCUGACACGGUGAGUCAAAAAUAUAGGAACAACAAUUGUACGGUGAUGGAUAUAGACAUGUAUCAUGUUAGAUUCAUAGGUGGGUUUUUGUAGAAUCCGUUGAAAUCAG
Long non-coding RNA from Odontomachus brunneus, 379 nucleotides. RefSeq lists it as uncharacterized. The transcript has 3 exons. The record is from RefSeq and is a predicted model, not a curated record. Lineage: Eukaryota; Metazoa; Arthropoda; Insecta; Hymenoptera; Formicidae.